This 419-nucleotide ribosomal RNA is filed under the name Pseudophylus stundjuki. Its description in RNAcentral is "partial 16S ribosomal RNA". The stretch from base 105 to 419 matches the Rfam family "Bacterial large subunit ribosomal RNA", at positions 2077 to 2600 of the family's 2925-position model. The record is from RNAcentral. Lineage: Eukaryota; Metazoa; Arthropoda; Insecta; Hemiptera; Miridae.
GUCUCUUAAUUAGAGUCUGGAAUGAAUGGUUGGAUGAGAAAUUUUCUUUCUUUAUUUUUUAAAAAAAAAUUGAUUUUUAAAUAAAAAAGUUUAAAUGUAUAUAUAGGACGAGAAGACCCUAUAGAGCUUAAUCCUCCCUAAAUAAUUAUUUUUUUGUAAAUAAUUAUUUUUUAUUUUGGGGGAGGAUUUUGUUGGGGUGACAGAAAAAAUUUUAUAACUUUUUUUACUUUUUUCAUUUAUUUGUGUAUUAUUGAUCCUUUAAUAUGGAUAUUAAGAUUAAGCUACCUUAGGGAUAACAGCGUUAUUAUUUUAGAGAGUUCAUAUCGAUAAAAUAGUUUGCGACCUCGAUGUUGGAUUAAAAUAAGUUUCAGGGGCAGAAAAUUGAUUAACUAGGUCUGUUCGACCUUUAAAUUUUUACA